AUGAACGCGUAGCGGCAGGCUUAAUACAUGCAAGUCGAGGGGCAGCACGGUGUAGCAAUACAUGGGUGGCGACCGGCAAACGGGUGCGGAACACGUACAGAACCUUCCUCAGAGCGGGGGAUAGCCCAGAGAAAUUUGGAUUAAUACCCCAUAGGAUAGUGGAGUGGCAUCACUCAGCUAUUAAAGAUUUAUCACUUUGAGAUGGCUGUGCGUCUGAUUAGGUAGUUGGUGAGGUAACGGCUCACCAAGCCGACGAUCAGUAACUGGUGUGAGAGCACGACCAGUCACACGGGCACUGAGACACGGGCCCGACUCCUACGGGAGGCAGCAGUAAGGAAUAUUGGUCAAUGGACGCAAGUCUGAACCAGCCAUGCCGCGUGGAGGAUGAAGGUCCUCUGGAUUGUAAACUUCUUUUAUCUGGGACGAAAAAAGGGAAUUCUUUCUCGUCUGACGGUACCAGAUGAAUAAGCACCGGCUAACUCCGUG
RNAcentral lists this ribosomal RNA (486 nucleotides) under uncultured bacterium. RNAcentral describes it as "bacterial SSU rRNA". It matches the Rfam family "Bacterial small subunit ribosomal RNA", at positions 37 to 507 of the family's 1533-position model. The record is from RNAcentral.